Molecule: unclassified non-coding RNA, 1300 nt
Filed under: Hevea brasiliensis (rubber tree)
Lineage: Eukaryota; Viridiplantae; Streptophyta; Magnoliopsida; Malpighiales; Euphorbiaceae
Source: RNAcentral
UGCAGAGGAGUUUCUGGAAAUGACUUGAUGCCACACAAGCUCAAUUCACCAUGAUGUAUAUGAUUCUUCUCAUCCCCAUUUUCUUUGUAAUAAGCUACAACUGUUGGAGAAUCUUCAGUGAGGCCAAAUUCAUGAAAAAGACACCUGCGGACGGGGAAUUCAUCUCCAGUUUCCACAUGUACAAAGAGAAGCUUUCCUCUGAAAGCAUUUGCCGCCUCUUUGAAUAUGGAUACAACUUUCCAUGAUCUUUUAGGAGUGAAAAGCCACAACUGUUUCAUUGGAUUCUCAACAAUGUCUAUACCAUCCUCUUCUGUGAAAGUUAUCACUGGAGGAAGCUUAUAUACAGAUACAAAGUUAGCUAUUGCCAAUCUGGUGAAUUGACCUUCAUAACGAAAGUGGCUAUAAUUUCCACACUCUCUUUUCAGCAUGAUCAGAGCAGGGCGUUUGAUUUGAGGGUCAAUGUGGAAAAGCUUAGCUACAUCAGCAUUGCUAGUUUGAUAGAACUUGACAUCUAUAUGCUGUUUUGAGACAGCGGCAAGCUCCUCACUAUGUGGACCCUGUAAAGUGUCUAGGAAUCCCAAAACCAUCGUAGAUUCAGCAGCUAAUAUACGGAUUGCCUCAUCAACUAUAGUCACGUUUUGGACAAUAUUGCUAACCUUCUGAUUAACCCAAUUUGAAAUAGCAUCCCUGGUUCGUUCUCCAUAGUAGGAAUAACCAGCGUUGUGAACUCCACCAACUGAGAGAUACAGAGUUGGAUACCCAUCAAUCUUGAACUUCCUCGCCAACUCUGUUUCUUGAGUAGCAUCUAUUUUUGCAAGAACAGCCUUACCCUUCAACAUGGUAGCAGCCGCAGCAUAUUCCGGUUCCAGCUUCUGACUCCAAUAGCACCAAGGCGCAUAGAAAUCCAUCAUUACAUACUUAUUUCUAUGUCUAUCAACAAAGUCGCUAAAGUUGUUCUUGGUCAACACCACCACAUCCUUUUCAUCAACUGCGGAAGAGAUGCUCUGCAGGAUGAGCUUGCCCGAUCUCUGCCUACGAUGUUGGUCGAUAGAGAUUGAAGAAACAGUUCCAACUUCGGCUUCAUCUGUGCUGUUGCGAGAGAAACCAAGAGCUUUUGCAAGAAUUGGUGAAGAGAAGUGAGAGAAAGGUGUAAAGCAGAAGAGUGUGAAGAGAAAGAAGAUUGAAGUGAAGAGGAGGAUGAGAUUUCUUGUUGUCGACAUUGUUUUCGGAAGAGAUAGAGUUGAGAAGAAGAAUGGGAAGUGAGAGUAAGCAUUAACGGCCUGGGCAGAGCUGUGCGUGG